GAUGAACGCUGGCGGCGUGCCUAAUACAUGCAAGUCGAGCGAAUGGAUUAAGAGCUUGCUCUUAUGAAGUUAGCGGCGGACGGGUGAGUAACACGUGGGUAACCUGCCCAUAAGACUGGGAUAACUCCGGGAAACCGGGGCUAAUACCGGAUAACAUUUUGAACCGCAUGGUUCGAAAUUGAAAGGCGGCUUCGGCUGUCACUUAUGGAUGGACCCGCGUCGCAUUAGCUAGUUGGUGAGGUAACGGCUCACCAAGGCAACGAUGCGUGGCCGACCUGGGAGGGUGAUCGGCCACACUGGGACUGAGACACGGCCCAGACUCCUACGGGAGGCAGCAGUAGGGAAUCUUCCGCAAUGGACGGAAGUCUGACGGAGCAACGCCGCGUGAGUGAUGAAGGCUUUCGGGCCGUAAAACUCUGUUGUUAGGGAAGAACAAGUGCUAGUUGAAUAAGCUGGCACCUUGACGGUACCUAACCAGAAAGCCACGGCUAACUACGUGCCAGCCGCCGCAGUAA
RNAcentral lists this ribosomal RNA (515 nucleotides) under uncultured bacterium. RNAcentral's name for it is "partial 16S ribosomal RNA". It matches the Rfam family "Bacterial small subunit ribosomal RNA", at positions 28 to 523 of the family's 1533-position model. The record is from RNAcentral.